UGCAGUCGAACGGCAGCACAGUAAGAGCUUGCUCUUAUGGGUGGCGAGUGGCGGACGGGUGAGGAAUACAUCGGAAUCUACCUUUUCGUGGGGGAUAACGUAGGGAAACUUACGCUAAUACCGCAUACGACCUUCGGGUGAAAGCAGGGGACCUUCGGGCCUUGCGCGGAUAGAUGAGCCGAUGUCGGAUUAGCUAGUUGGCGGGGUAAAGGCCCACCAAGGCGACGAUCCGUAGCUGGUCUGAGAGGAUGAUCAGCCACACUGGAACUGAGACACGGUCCAGACUCCUACGGGAGGCAGCAGUGGGGAAUAUUGGACAAUGGGCGCAAGCCUGAUCCAGCCAUACCGCGUGGGUGAAGAAGGCCUUCGGGUUGUAAAGCCCUUUUGUUGGGAAAGAAAAGCAGUCGAUUAAUACUCGGUUGUUCUGACGGUACCCAAAGAAUAAGCACCGGCUAACUUCGUGCCAGCAGCCGCGGUAAUACGAAGGGUGCAAGCGUUACUCGGAAUUACUGGGCGUAAAGCGUGCGUAGGUGGUUGUUUAAGUCUGUUGUGAAAGCCCUGGGCUCAACCUGGGAAUUGCAGUGGAUACUGGGCGACUAGAGUGUGGUAGAGGGUAGUGGAAUUCCCGGUGUAGCAGUGAAAUGCGUAGAGAUCGGGAGGAACAUCCAUGGCGAAGGCAGCUACCUGGACCAACACUGACACUGAGGCACGAAAGCGU
This 718-nucleotide ribosomal RNA is filed under the name Stenotrophomonas sp. Its description in RNAcentral is "bacterial SSU rRNA". It matches the Rfam family "Bacterial small subunit ribosomal RNA", at positions 56 to 762 of the family's 1533-position model. The record is from RNAcentral. Lineage: Bacteria; Pseudomonadati; Pseudomonadota; Gammaproteobacteria; Lysobacterales; Lysobacteraceae.